AUUGAACGCUGGCGGAAUGCUUUACACAUGCAAGUCGAGCGGCAGCGCGGCCUUCGGGCUGGCGGCGAGCGGCGAACGGGUGAGUAAUGCAUCGGAGCAUGCCCAGUCGGGGGGGAUAACACUUCGAAAGAAGUGCUAAUACCGCAUACGUCCUGAGGGGGAAAGCGGGGGAUCGCAAGACCUCGCGCGAUUGGAGUGGCCGAUGUCAGAUUAGCUAGUUGGUGGGGUAAAGGCCUACCAAGGCGACGAUCUGUAGCUGGUCUGAGAGGAUGAUCAGCCACACUGGGACUGAGACACGGCCCAGACUCCUACGGGAGGCAGCAGUGGGGAAUUUUGGACAAUGGGGGCAACCCUGAUCCAGCCAUUCCGCGUGAGUGAAGAAGGCCUUCGGGUUGUAAAGCUCUUUCGGCAGGAACGAAACGGUGGGCUCUAACAUAGUCCGCUAAUGACGGUACCUGAAGAAGAAGCACCGGCUAACUACGUG
Molecule: ribosomal RNA, 484 nt
Filed under: uncultured bacterium
Lineage: Bacteria
Description: partial 16S ribosomal RNA
Rfam family: Bacterial small subunit ribosomal RNA
Source: RNAcentral